RNAcentral lists this ribosomal RNA (253 nucleotides) under uncultured bacterium. RNAcentral describes it as "partial 16S ribosomal RNA". It matches the Rfam family "Bacterial small subunit ribosomal RNA", at positions 524 to 776 of the family's 1533-position model. The record is from RNAcentral.
UACGAAGGGUGCAAACGUUGCUCGGAAUUAUUGGGCGUAAAGCGCACGUAGGCGGCUUAGCAAGUCGGAAGUGAAAGCCCUCGGCUCAACCAAGGAAGUGCUUUCGAAACUGCUGAGCUUGAGUACUUAAGAGGAUCGCGGAAUUCCCGGUGUAGAGGUGAAAUUCGUAGAUAUCGGGAGGAACACCAGUGGCGAAGGCGGCGAUCUGGGAAGAUACUGACGCUGAGGUGCGAAAGCGUGGGGAGCGAACAGG